UGGGAACGUGCCUUUUGGUUCGGAACAACCCAGGGAAACUUGGGCUAAUACCGGAUAAGCCCUUACGGGGAAAGAUUUAUCGCCAAAGAUCGGCCCGCGUCUGAUUAGCUAGUUGGUGGGGUAAUGGCCACCAAGGCUACGAUCAGUAGCUGGUCUGAGAGGAUGAUCAGCCGCAUUGGGACUGAGACACGGCCCAAACUCCUACGGGAGGCAG
Molecule: ribosomal RNA, 214 nt
Filed under: uncultured bacterium
Lineage: Bacteria
Description: partial 16S ribosomal RNA
Rfam family: Bacterial small subunit ribosomal RNA
Source: RNAcentral